AUACGGAGGAUCCGAGCGUUAUCCGGAUUUAUUGGGUUUAAAGGGAGCGUAGGUGGACUGGUAAGUCAGUUGUGAAAGUUUGCGGCUCAACCGUAAAAUUGCAGUUGAUACUGUCAGUCUUGAGUACAGUAGAGGUGGGCGGAAUUCGUGGUGUAGCGGUGAAAUGCUUAGAUAUCACGAAGAACUCCGAUUGCGAAGGCAGCUCACUGGACUGCAACUGACACUGAUGCUCGAAAGUGUGGGUAUCAAACAGGAUUAGAUACCCUGGUAGUCCACACAGUAAACGAUGAAUACUCGCUGUUUGCGAUAUACAGUAAGCGGCCAAGCGAAAGCAUUAAGUAUUCCACCUGGGGAGUACGCCGGCAACGGUGAAACUCAAAGGAAUUGACGGGGGCCCGCACAAGCGGAGGAACAUGUGGUUUAAUUCGAUGAUACGCGAGGAACCUUACCCGGGCUUAAAUUGCAGUGGAAUGAUGUGGAAACAUGUCAGUGAGCAAUCACCGCUGUGAAGGUGCUGCAUGGUUGUCGUCAGCUCGUGCCGUGAGGUGUCGGCUUAAGUGCCAUAACGAGCGCAACCUUUAUCUUUAGUUACUAACAGGUUAUGCUGAGGACUCUAGAGAGACUGCCGUCGUAAGAUGUGAGGAAGGUGGGGAUGACGUCAAAUCAGCACGGCCCUUACGUCCGGGGCUACACACGUGUUACAAUGGGGGGUACAGAAGGCAGCUAGCGGGUGACCGUAUGCUAAUCCCAAAAGCCUCUCUCAGUUCGGAUCGAAGUCUGCAACCCGACUUCGUGAAGCUGGAUUCGCUAGUAAUCGCGCAUCAGCCACGGCGCGGUGAAUACGUUCCCGGGCCUUGUACACACCGCCCGUCAAGCCAUGGGAGCCGGGGGUACCUGAAGUACGUAACCGCAAGGAUCGUCCUAGGGUAAAACUGGUGACUGGGGCU
This 947-nucleotide ribosomal RNA is filed under the name uncultured bacterium. RNAcentral describes it as "bacterial SSU rRNA". It matches the Rfam family "Bacterial small subunit ribosomal RNA", at positions 523 to 1482 of the family's 1533-position model. The record is from RNAcentral.